UUCCGGUUGAUCAAAAAUGCACAGAAUUCAAAAUGACAACAAGUUGACUGUGAUUUUGUUUUGGAGUUUGUUGAACAACAAUCCAUCUGUGUGAAACCUCAAAAUGAGCAACGAAUCGUCAGAGAGCGAUGUGGACGUUAUGAUUUAGAGGCUGAAAAGGAAAUAUCAGGAGAGGAAACGGGUCUCUACAGAGCAGAAAGCAGCUGGGCUGAGUGGAAGACACUACCAUGUUGAGCAGCAGAGAGUGGUGAAGUCCCCCAGGUGUCGACGCACCACCACCAGGGAGAUAAGAGGUUAAAACAGAGCUGUUCCAGGCUGUCACCAACCCAGGGGGUGAGAGGGGUGAGGCAGCAGGUGUCCUCCACUGUAUUCUCUUCCUCCUGCCCCUCAGUGAUGGGACAGGUCUACCAGGAGAUGCUGCACAUCUACGAACAACUACAGGCAUAGCGUUUGAGCCAGCAACAGUGGUCGGCCCAGCUCCAGGACAGAGAAAAUAGACUGCUAGAGCAGGAGGAGGUACACACACAUACUUGAAGUGGGCAGUGUAAGUCCUGCCUGCCCCUCUCAGGCUGCUGACUUUGCUAUUGGACUGGGUUCUAGACGGACAGGCGUUUCCUCCGCAGGACAGCCCAGGGUCAGCAGCACAAGUCUCCAGCUGUCUCUCUCAACCACAGGUGCUCUAAGGUGUUGCGUCCGUUGGUAAAGCAGCUGCAGCAGGUCUCUGCAUCAUCAGACCCCUCUGUCACCCUGUCCCUGAUCAAGUUUAUACACUGGAGCCUGAGAGAAAUAGACAACAGCACACAGACCGUGGCUCUGUCGUCCACUCUGCGGCAUCUGGUGAAGAGGUACCCAGGGCUCCGACCCAGCAGCAGGACCCCAGCG
This is a long non-coding RNA of Coregonus clupeaformis (lake whitefish), 882 nucleotides long. RefSeq lists it as uncharacterized. The record is from RefSeq and is a predicted model, not a curated record. NCBI's taxonomy places the organism in Eukaryota, Metazoa, Chordata, Actinopteri, Salmoniformes, Salmonidae. The transcript has 5 exons.